RNAcentral lists this ribosomal RNA (468 nucleotides) under uncultured bacterium. RNAcentral's name for it is "partial 16S ribosomal RNA". It matches the Rfam family "Bacterial small subunit ribosomal RNA", at positions 28 to 507 of the family's 1533-position model. The record is from RNAcentral.
GACGAACGCUGGCGGCGUGCUUAACACAUGCAAGUCGAACGGAAAGGCCCUGCUUUUGUGGUGUGCUCGAGUGGCGAACGGGUGAGUAACACGUGAGUAACCUGCCCUUGACUGUGGGAUAACUUCAGGGGACUGGGGCUAAUACCGGAUAUGAGAUCCUGCUGCAUGUGGGGGGUUGGAAAGUUUCGGCGGUUGGGGAUGGACUCGCGGCUAAUCAGCUUGUUGGUGGGGUCGUGGCUUACCAAGGCUUUGACGGGUAGCCGGCCUGAGAGGGUGACCGGCCACAUUGGGCUUGAGAGACGGCCAAGAGUCCUACGGGAGGCAGCGGGGGGGAAUAUUCCACAAUGGGCGGAAGCCUCAUGCAGCAACGCCGCGUGCGGGAUGACGGCUGUCGGGUUGUAAACCGCUCUGGCCUGAGACGAAGGGUGAGUGACGGUAAUGGGUAAAGAAGCACCGGCUAACUACGUG